Leptinotarsa decemlineata (Colorado potato beetle) is the source of this 1873-nucleotide non-coding RNA. The record is from RefSeq and is a predicted model, not a curated record. NCBI's taxonomy places the organism in Eukaryota, Metazoa, Arthropoda, Insecta, Coleoptera, Chrysomelidae.
AUGAUAAUAAAUUUAUUUUCUUCCUUUGAUCCUUCAUCUAAUUUUAAUUUAUCUUUAAACUGAUUAAGAUCCCUGAUUGGCUUACUAAUUAUUCCCCCUUUAUUUUGAGCUAUUCCCUCACGACUUAGAAUAUUUUGAAUAAAAAUUAUUUUUUCAUUACACACUGAAUUUAAAACACUAAUAUCUACUAAAUAUCAGGGUAGAACUAUUAUAUUUGUAUCAUUAUUUUCAUUUAUUCUUUUUAAUAAUUUUUUAGGGUUAUUUCCCUAUAUUUUUACUUCAACGAGUCACUUAAUUCUUACAUUAGCUUUAGCCCUUCCUAUAUGAAUUAGAUUUAUAAUUUACGGGUGAAUAAAUAAUACUAUUCAUAUGUUUGCCCAUCUAAUACCUCAAGGGACACCCCCAAUUCUUAUACCUUUUAUAGUAUGUAUUGAAUCUAUUAGAAAUAUUAUUCGCCCUGGUACACUCGCUAUUCGUCUCUCUGCUAAUAUAAUUGCAGGCCACCUAUUAAUGACACUACUUGGUAAUACAGGACCUUCCUUAUCUUUAAUAAUCUUAAAUAUUUUAUUAAUUAUUCAAAUUUUACUUUUAAUUCUUGAGUCGGCAGUUUCUAUUAUUCAAUCUUAUGUAUUUACUGUUCUAAGUACUCUUUAUUCUAGAGAAAUUCAUUAAUGUCAAUACUUAAAAAUCACCCCUUUCAUCUUGUUGAUAUUAGUCCAUGACCAAUUUUAGGAUCUUUUAGGGCUAUGAUUACCUUAUUAGGAUUAGUCAAAUGAUUCCACCUAUUCAAAUUAGACCUAUUUUUAUGAGGACUAAUAAUUAUACUAUUAGUUAUAUACCAAUGAUGACGAGAUGUCGUUCGAGAAAGAACAUUCCAAGGACAUCAUACGCUGAAAGUUACCUUAGGCUUACGUUGAGGAAUAAUUCUUUUUAUUAUUUCAGAAAUUUUUUUUUUUAUUUCAUUUUUUUGAGGAUUUUUUCAUAAUGCUUUAGCUCCUAGAAUUGAAAUUGGUAUGAUAUGACCUCCUAAAGGAAUCCAAACUUUCAAUCCUUUAGAAAUUCCAUUAUUAAAUACAUUAAUUCUUUUAACCUCUGGAUUGACAGUUACAUGGGCCCAUCACAGUCUAAUAGAUAAUAAUUAUAAUCAAGCAAUUCAAAGAUUAUCAUUAACAGUUAUACUCGGUAUUUAUUUUACUAUCUUACAAGCUUAUGAAUAUUUAGAAGCCCCAUUUACUAUUGCUGACUCAAUUUAUGGAUCUUCUUUUUUUAUAGCAACAGGAUUCCACGGUCUUCAUGUAAUAAUUGGAACAACCUUUUUAUUUGUUUGUCUAAUCCGACAUUAUUUUCUUCAUUUCUCUUCCUACCAUCAUUUUGGAUUCGAAGCAGCAGCAUGAUACUGACAUUUUGUAGACGUAGUUUGACUAUUUUUAUAUAUUUCUAUUUAUUGAUGAGGUAGAUAUUUGUAUAAUAUAAUUAUUAUAUUUGACUUCCAAUCAAAAAAUCUAAAUCCUAGUACAAAUAAUUUUUAUUAUUUUUAUAAUUACCGUAAUAAUUUUUUUUAUCCUUUUUAUUUUAACUAUUAUUUUAAAUUUAUCAUCGAAAAAAAGUUUCUCAGACCGAGAAAAAAGAAGGCCUUUUGAAUGCGGAUUUGAUCCUAAAUCUACUGCCCGACUUCCAUUCUCAUUACAAUUUUUUUUAAUUGCUAUUAUUUUUUUGAUUUUUGAUGUUGAAAUUACUCUUUUACUACCAAUAAUUCUAGUUAUACCAUGAAGAAACGUAUUUAAUUAUUCUCUAAUUUUAAAUUUUUUUAUUAUAAUUUUAAUUAUUGGAUUAUUUCAUGAAUGAAAUCAAGGAGCUUUGAACUGAGCCUAUU